Molecule: ribosomal RNA, 249 nt
Filed under: uncultured bacterium
Lineage: Bacteria
Description: partial 16S ribosomal RNA
Rfam family: Bacterial small subunit ribosomal RNA
Source: RNAcentral
GCAACCUACGGGGGGCAGCAGUGGGGAAUAUUGCACAAUGGGGGGAACCCUGAUGCAGCGACGCCGCGUGGGUGAAGAAGUCAUUCGUGACGUAAAGCCCUAUCAGCAGGGAAGAAAAUGACGGUACCUGACCAAGAAGCCCCGGCUAACUACGUGCCAGCAGCCGCGGUAAUACGUAGGGGGCAAGCGUUAUCCGGAUUUACUGGGUGUAAAGGGAGCGUAGACGGUCCUGCAAGCCAGAUGUGAAAG